UGCCGCCGCUGGUAGUACAGCGUGCCGCCGCGCACCACGUAGCAGGCGGCGGCCUUGCGGAUCUUCCGCUUGGCGUUGCCCUCCGUGCCCGGCGCGUACGGCUCCCGCUCGUUCGUCAGGUACCGCAGGAUGGCCAGGCAAGAAGGCUCCUCAAAUACCAGCUCCAUCUUCCCUGCUACCUGAGCCACUCAGUGAAGACUGGGGAAGCGUGUGCUAAUGCAGCAGACUGUCUAAGAAACCAAGUGUUUUAUGGCAGGAAGAUGCUUUUCAGUCUGCAAAACCCAGACAUGGUCAUUUCACAGAUUCAUUCCCUUCAGUGUAUCUCACACAGCUGAGCAGACCAUGGCACAAGUAAUGUAAUUCCAUCAGAUGUUUAUUCAGCACGACCAACAGUUUGGCAAGUUAGCGCUUUCCACCAACACGGGGAGCAGAAACCUUGACUGGUUUCACAAUCUUCUGCUUAGGUGCUGCCUUCGUAGGGGCCUGUAGAGAAAUAAUGAAGUAUGAGUGAAAAGAAGCUAUUCAUCUGCAGUUCUAAAAGUAUCCCUGUAUGUACUCUUGACAAAAAUCAGAUCAGACUAGAACUGCAAACUGUAAUACUGGGAUCAUGUUAUCAUUUGUUUACACACAUAGCACUAAGCCAACAUAAGGAAUUAAUUCAGAAGUGUUAAUGAAACACAUGGUAGCACUCAUCAAUAUAUUGUUACCAAGUUCCUAGGUAGUGAAGAUGUCACAUUCAAACAAGUUUUUAUUAAUUAUUUCUGAUAUUAGGUCAGAGAAUCGAUUUCCUGUAAUAUUUACUUAUUCUGUAAAAAAGAUUAAUUCUGUGCAGCUGUUUGGGUAUGCUUCACUUUAGUACAGAAGUUCAGUCAAGAAGCUUUCACAUCAAAAAGUUACAAAAAUGCUUCCUCAAAACAUAAACAGGAAUUUCCAAAUAAUUGUGUGUCAUGUUGCAACAUGGUGUAUUCCAUUUUAUAAUUUCUAUUUGCCUAUUACAUCUCACCUUUGCAGCAGAAACAGCCGUUUUCUUGGUUGCCUGCUUUGCCUUCUUGGCUUCCUUUGCAGCCCUGUUAAUUCAUAGAAAAAGUGGAAGUUAGCCAUAUCUGCCAUUCACUGUUUCCUUGUUUCAGCACUGUAAGAGCUUCCCAAGAUCAGGAAUGGAAUGUAUUACUGCAGAUUUCUCCUCUAUAUUCACUAUCCCCUGAAGGAAUUUCUACAGAGACAGCGGAACUGUGAGUGACAAAGGUGCAAAGGGAAAAGGCAAGGAGAGAUCCUUCUCUGCUGCCACUAUCUCUUGCCAAGAUUACUCAGUAUUACAUACAAAUAUACAGAUUAAAAACAAACAAAAAAAAAAAAACAACCCACAAAAAAAGUUUUAUAAAACACAGAGCUCACCUAGAGUUUAGGCUUUUAUAUGAAAAGUACUGUAACAUUUGAAAAGCCUGGGACAGCUCCACUGAUCUGACUUCUCACCUAAUAGCUUGUUCCCUCUGCGCCUUCCGUACUUCGGGCUUCUGGUUUCGCUUGGCCAUAAUCUCAGCCAGAGAGGCACCAGUGAUGGCUCUCUGGAACUUCACGGCACGGCGCGUGCGCUUCUUCUGGACCUCUUCCUAAGAGGGCAGGAGACAAACAGAGACAAUUAGCAUCACAAGAUGUUAAAUACGUGGCUAAAGACAAUUACGAAAACAAGCUGCUACUCAAACUGAAGCUGUUUGAAACUGUACACUAUAGUAGAAUUUUACUCCUCACUUUAGCGAAUCCUCCUGUUUGGUACACAGAAGUGCUGCCCCACCUCCACAUGGCCCCUUCUCCACCCACAUCCUGUACUUUUCACAGUGUGUUACUACCAACAAUCCUUGGUUGGCUCCCCAGCUGUUCAGCUAUCAGUGUUGGAGACACACAUAUUAGAGAGACCCUAUAUCUUCUACAGCAAAGUACAAAAAAAAGUAUUUUAAAAGAAUGUUAUAAGUUCCACCAGCUGUACCUCUCAGAAGAAAAAAGGGGGGGAAGGAUAAACCUUCAAUGGUGUCUUCUGAAAGGAAAACACUCCACACCUAUUGAAGUGGAUCAGGUGCUGGGGAGCAGUGUAAGCCAUGAACCAAACUGACAAGAACACAGAUAUUGCACUGAUGUGGGCCUUUCCCAAAGCUCCUCUGCUGUGCAAGUUUAAACAAGAGCACUGCAGCAUACCUCAUGCUACAUGCCUUCAUGAUUUAUCCUUUUAAUGCAAUGACAACUGCCUAGGGAAAGACCUCAUGCUAAGCUACAGCCCAAAGUUUUCAAGGAGAGUAUAUCAGGAGUGUCAUCCCUGCCCCUCUAACCCCAAAAUCAGCUCCCUGUGCUGUCACCAUUGAGGAAGUUUACAAGUCCAAACUUCUAUGAAGUAUGCAUAUUAAACAGCAUUUACCCACCUUCCCUAAAACUAACUUUUAAACACAUGCCAUUCCUACAAUUAUUAAGAUCUACUGAACAUACUGUGGCUCUGAGUGGUCUCUCAAAGAAGUGCUCCAACACAAUCCAAUGUUUUUGCUGAAGUGGUGUAUAAACUCAUGUAACUGCACUCACAUUUUCACCAUUACUAACUAGUCUUCAUCCUGGUAACGUGGGUCGUGCUUCUGCUGAACACUGGCACACUUAAGUGACCUCUAACAGACCAUGGACCACAUCUUUUGGUCACCAAAUUCCAGUGCCAUUAGCUGGCAUGUACUUACUGACUGUCCCUUCUUGUGCUUACGCCUGUACAGAACAGUCCAGUUGAUCUGACGAGGGUUUCUCUUGGAAAGGAAUGCAGACUCACAUUUUGCAUUCAAGAACUGAAAAACCUGGGAAGGCAAAACGUUUUGUGUAAGCUUUGUUUCCAUGACAGGCAUUAUCACAGUUUGCAUUAAAUAUUCUUUGAGUCAGUGUUUUUCGAUAUUGUUGUUUCUGGAGUUCUUAAAUACAGCUCUGACUAUUCAAAAUUUUAUAAAAUAAUUCAAGAAAUCUCAAGUUUUGUCUUCUGUUACAUUGGUCAAACCGAAGUCUUGCAAGGGAUUCUGAAGUAUCUUCAU
Long non-coding RNA from Passer domesticus (house sparrow), 3050 nucleotides. RefSeq lists it as uncharacterized. The record is from RefSeq and is a predicted model, not a curated record. NCBI's taxonomy places the organism in Eukaryota, Metazoa, Chordata, Aves, Passeriformes, Passeridae. The transcript has 2 exons.